CGUGAAUAUGCCAAACCGCGUGGUGCACAUUUGCGUUGUUUAAUUUGUAAACAUAAUGCAGUGGUACUAUCGAGUGCGUUUCAGUGUGUUCAACUCAUUUCAAACUAUGUUGAUGUCAGUUUUUAUACAUAUUCUCUAAAGUUGGUGAUUAAUUCGGACUUUUAGUGAUAUUUUGGUGUCUGUUUUUUUAUGUAAUUUUUUUUUUGUUUAGUGCAGUGCUUGUAAAUUAGUAAUUAAUUCCGAUUUUUAGCGCUAUUUUGGUGGCCGACUUUUUACUUGUUUUCAAAAGUAAAUUUAUUUAGUGCAGUGUGAAUUAGUAUUUUUUACUUCAAAAUAAAUGUGUGUCGUGAUUUUAGUGUAAAUAAAUUGUCGUCUAUUCAGUGACCAGGAUUUCCGACGGGGGCUCGCUUCUGAGAAUCGAGAGACAACAAAUUGGGAAUAUGAUGUCCCAAAAGGAUCGGUGCUUCUUCGCUUACGAAUAUCGAUUAUAUUGUGAGGCUGAACUCUCGUGUGGACAAUUAGUGGUCUUGCAAUCCAAAAAGUGAUGUUUUCAUAUGGAAGUACGUGACUUUCUGCAGGCAUGAGCUACACACAAGG
This is a long non-coding RNA of Ctenocephalides felis (cat flea), 597 nucleotides long. RefSeq lists it as uncharacterized. The transcript is spliced from 5 exons. NCBI's taxonomy places the organism in Eukaryota, Metazoa, Arthropoda, Insecta, Siphonaptera, Pulicidae. The record is from RefSeq and is a predicted model, not a curated record.